This 620-nucleotide ribosomal RNA is filed under the name uncultured bacterium. RNAcentral's name for it is "bacterial SSU rRNA". It matches the Rfam family "Bacterial small subunit ribosomal RNA", at positions 334 to 945 of the family's 1533-position model. The record is from RNAcentral.
UACUCCUACGGGAGGCAGCAGUGGGGAAUAUUGGACAAUGGGCGCAAGCCUGAUCCAGCCAUGCCGCGUGGGUGAAGAAGGCCUUCGGGUUGUAAAGCCCUUUUGUUGGGAAAGAAAAGCAGUCGGUUAAUACCCGAUUGUUCUGACGGUACCCAAAGAAUAAGCACCGGCUAACUUCGUGCCAGCAGCCGCGGUAAUACGAAGGGUGCAAGCGUUACUCGGAAUUACUGGGCGUAAAGCGUGCGUAGGUGGUUUGUUAAGUCUGAUGUGAAAGCCCUGGGCUCAACCUGGGAAUUGCAUUGGAUACUGGCAGGCUAGAGUGCGGUAGAGGGUAGUGGAAUUCCCGGUGUAGCAGUGAAAUGCGUAGAGAUCGGGAGGAACAUCCGUGGCGAAGGCGACUACCUGGACCAGCACUGACACUGAGGCACGAAAGCGUGGGGAGCAAACAGGAUUAGAUACCCUGGUAGUCCACGCCCUAAACGAUGCGAACUGGAUGUUGGGUUCAAUUAGGAACUCAGUAUCGAAGCUAACGCGUUAAGUUCGCCGCCUGGGGAGUACGGUCGCAAGACUGAAACUCAAAGGAAUUGACGGGGGCCCCCACAAGCGGUGGAGCAUGUGGA